Long non-coding RNA from Mandrillus leucophaeus (drill), 2554 nucleotides. RefSeq lists it as uncharacterized. The transcript is spliced from 2 exons. The record is from RefSeq and is a predicted model, not a curated record. NCBI's taxonomy places the organism in Eukaryota, Metazoa, Chordata, Mammalia, Primates, Cercopithecidae.
GAUGUAUAUACAAAGACGAUAUCUUUAUGGUCGUAUAUCAAUAGCCAGCUAGAUGAGUUUUCUAAUCCCUUCUUUGUGAAUUAUGAAAACCAUGUGUUAUAUCCUGUUGCUAGUCUGAGUCAUUUGGAAUUGUGGGUAAACUAUUAUGUACGAUGGAAUCCACGGAAGAGACCUCAGAUGCCCAUUCACCAGAAUCUCAAGGAGCUGCUGGCCGUCAGGGCGGAGCUGCAGAAGCGUGUGGAGGGCCUGCAGCGGGAGGUGGCCACACGUGCUGUCUCAUCCUCAUCUGAGCGGGGCUCCUCGCCCUCCCACUCCGCCACCUCCGUCCACACCUCAGUCUGACGAGCGAGGCCACCCUGCUGCCCCACUGUCUGCCAGCGGCUCAGGAAAGGGGCCUGGCCAUCACCGUUAUGGCUGUAGCUUGUGAUCUUGUCUUUUAGGAUUACGCCCAGGGACCAUUUGUGUGGCUAGGUGACAGCUCCCACUGUUGGCAAGUGCUUUUUGUUUUGUGAACAGCCCGUUACCCUCCUGUCAGCGGUUUCACAGGGGAGCCGUCUGUCACAUCCACCCUGUGAAGCAACUUCUAGCGUCCAGGCAGCUUGGGAGAAACUAAGUGAAUGGAUUGCAGUACUGAGGUUCAAGAAAGCUGUGCGCCAUUUCUUUCCAAGUUAAAUCCUUCAGUAACAACAAACACCAUUCACUUCAAGACGCAUUGCCAGCCCCAUGGCUUCCCUCAGCUCUUGGCCACAACUUGAAAACUGUUUUGAAUGAAGUACUUGGGGAGAAGACAGACCACUGCCCUCUGUUCCACAGUUCUCUUCAUGCACGGGGUCCUCCUGUAACAAUUACUGUUGUGUACAUACAAGGUAUUUUUAGAGAAGAGAAACAGGCCUUUAUUUUCCUAUGUCCUUUUUUACGUUUAGAAUAGUCACCUGAGGAGAGAUCAGCUCAACUGUACUGUGGGAGAAAUUAUUUUCCAACAAACCUCAUGCUCAUUUUUCUGUGGUGCAUUUGAAAUGGGAUUUGAACAUGGUCAUUUCAAGGACAACGUGUUCUGUCCUCACCUCACUCUGGUACUCACCUCUUGGGGCGGCUCAGCCCAUUCAUGGGGACAGCACCAAGCGGCCAUGCUCAGUCUUCCAGCCCCGCUGAGGGUAAACCGAAGCCUCUGGCAGCUGUGCACAGGUGCUGGCCUCUCGCUCCUUCAAGGAGCGCUGCCUGUCACUCGCUCCUGGGCUGUCUGGCCAUGCUUCCCACCACCACUUUACCGCUGCCAGCUGCCAGGAUCAAAGCAAGUCUGCUCUUAUGUUAUUUGCCUGUAUGGAAUCAUUUCUCAUUUUAUCACAGUUCCUUCAACUCAGCUUACUCACAUGGCUGCCUGUUAAUAUUUGAAAGCAGCCACUGUGCUGUGGCUUUGGUUUGGAAAAGCAUAGCACGCACUUCCCUUGGUUUUCCCUUCCCAGAGCCGACCACAGCUGGUCAGCCCUCUUCCCGCUCCCGAACCUUUACUGACUGACUGUGAGCUCUGUGACUCCAUCAGUCCUCGCAGGAAUUAAUUUACCACCCAUUGAUUCAAUCCACUUGUGCGCCAUAGCUCUGAGCUCCUCUGUGUGACAUGCCACAGAUGAUUAUUGCACACCUGGGUCCUGCCCCAGCAGGCCAUGCCCCUCCCUCAUGCUGUGCCCGUUGCUGCAACUUCCCCCCACCCCACCACGGGCUGCAGGAAUUCAGCCUUUAGAGGCAGAGGCGGCUGCAGCGGCUCCUAAGGUCAAACCCCAGCGUGACUGCAUAACAACGUUAGCUGGCUGUUUUCAAAUUACUGGAUUCCAGGCAAAGUCCUACAAAUUGACCUUAUUUUUGAAAAUAUGUUAAGGGUUUUUUUAAUAGAGAAUGGAUUUUUUUAAAAAAAACUGGGAGCCUCCUGAUUCUUACUGAAAAUUAUCCUUCUAUAAGAGAGCAGAGAGAUUUAUUCAAGGUAAUUUGAUAACCUAAAAUCAAUUCUCCAUUUUUAUCACAUGUGGGAUUUGUUGCUAAAUCAUAUUCGACAUUAGCUUUUAUGUUCCUGACAUAUCUGAACGUUAUUUAUGAAUGGAUAAACUGGAUUAUAGAUAUACUGAUUUUUUUUUUAAUGGGGACAUUUCCCAUUUUCUUCUCAGACAUAUGUAAUCCCCUGGCUGACCAGGACUAUUAAACAUAGUGUGGACUGGAUGAUGCCUUCGACAAACCAGAGAAGCCAAGUUGUGGGGAGCUGGUGCCUGGAGUGGGCCCUGUGCACCUCACCUGGCGGAGGCUGGGGGGCUCCGUCAGCAGGACCCUACAGACUCCUAUUCCAUUUUAAAGAAGCACAACGGGUCAUUUCCCUUUGUAUGUUCCUAGUGCAGAACUGUUUCUAAAACAUCUUGAAGUAUAGUUUUGUUAUCCAAGCAAUUUUUGUUUUAUGUGUACUAGAAUGCGAAACCUUUACGGUUCAGGUUUUUAAAAACUGGUACAGUAUUGUAUUUGUCUCAUCUGUUGCACUGUAUUUCAAUCUGUAAUUAAAAUGAUCUUAUGUUUG